AUGACAUACAUGUUGAAAGCUUUCGAUCAACUUGGUCCUACCCAAAUUAAUGCUUCCGAACAAUUGAUUUGGUUGGUUCUGUUGUCUCGAUUGAAUCUCCACGUACAACCAUAAUUAAUGGACGAGAGACCAAGUUCAUCCACUUUGUUCUUCAGGAUCAUGAAGAGAGACGUUUACCUUGCACAUUUUGGGAGCAAUAUGUUGAUCAACUAUUACAGCAUGUCAACUAUGACAACCCUAAUCCAGUUGUUUUAUUCAUUCAGUUUUGUCGUGCAA
Ipomoea nil (Japanese morning glory) is the source of this 276-nucleotide long non-coding RNA. RefSeq lists it as uncharacterized. The record is from RefSeq and is a predicted model, not a curated record. NCBI's taxonomy places the organism in Eukaryota, Viridiplantae, Streptophyta, Magnoliopsida, Solanales, Convolvulaceae. The transcript is spliced from 3 exons.